Quercus robur (English oak) is the source of this 1497-nucleotide long non-coding RNA. RefSeq lists it as uncharacterized. The transcript has 2 exons. The record is from RefSeq and is a predicted model, not a curated record. NCBI's taxonomy places the organism in Eukaryota, Viridiplantae, Streptophyta, Magnoliopsida, Fagales, Fagaceae.
CCUAGUUCAACAUUUUUUUUUGUUUGUUUUCAAAUCCACUUUAUUCAUAUUUGGUAAGAAAAGAAUACUAAUUUAAUAUAGCUUCCUUUAUGGCAAUAAUCCUUGGCUUAGAUGAAACUUGUAAUGGGUAUGUACUUGCUAUGGAGGAGGAUUCAUCACUCUCAAGAUCUGUUGUGGUCACUGCUGCUCCUCCCUCAACAAGGACAAGGUAUUGGGGCGGUGAUGAUUCGUACUAGAAUGUGAAAAAAUAUUACUACCUUGAGUUUCAGCCAUACAGGUGGAACAAUUUAAAAUUGAAGCUCACUUCCAUUUUCUGUAAAUUACUAAUUUAAUUAAUUGUGUGAAAACCGAAAGAAAAAGGCACGUGGGAUGAAGAUAUUCUAGCAGUUCUGCAUAUUGAAAAAGUACUACAAAAUUUUUCACAACUUCUUGUCACAACUGUAGCAUGGCAAAGUCUGAUUGGUGAAAAAAAUGAUGGGUCCAUAUGUAAAUAGUAGUUAACUACUCAUAGUCUACUAGAGUUGUAGCAAAAAAUUUGUGGAAUAAUCUGUGAUCCUAGAACUACUCACGAUUGGCUUGCACUCAAUAUCUGGAACUGGUCUCCCCUUCCUUGGUAGUGAAUGAGUCUGAAUUGGAUGAAAGGCCAAGAGAAUAUCAUUUUCUGGUAGUGAAAUACUGCUGAGAUUGAACUUAAUGCAAAUACAAUUGAGAAGCCACAUUUCUUAACACUACCUAUGGAAGCUGCUUUAAAUCAUAGCUAAGUUAAAGUAAUUAGAUUCAAGGUGGACAAAGAUCCAAUCUUUCUAGGCAUGGUUGGUGGCAUCCAGAGGGCCCUCCUUACCAGAGAUUUGGGCAUAGAGUCUUGUAUGAUGCUGGAAGCUCUGCUUAACUGCUAAACUCUCAUCUAUUAUUCAAGAGUUUUGGGCUCACUCUUUGGUCCUGAUCCAAAAUAAGCUACCUUUAAGUGGAAAUACAUGGUGAAUAUGACAAAAUCAUCUGGUUUCCAAGUCAUAUCCCCAAUCAUGGCUUUAUUAGCUGCUUGUUAGUCAAAGACAGUUUAAUUACCAAGGAAAGGCAGACCAAGUGGGGUUUUUAAUGUCAUUUUUGCAGGCCUAGUCAAGUUUUGUCCUGACUCCCGAGAUCAUCUGUGCUAUGAUUGUUCUUUCACCAAAGAAUGUGGCCAGAAUUUCUCAUUAGUUGCUUGUGUGGUAGAAACUAGAAAGUUGGGAUGUGGAGAUUAGUUUGGCAAUCGAUCAGCUGAAAAGACAAUCUUGAUGCUGAUUUUUGCUGUUUUAUGAGGAGCAAUUAUAAGAACGUGACAGGCUGCCACUGCCGGUGCUACAAUAAUUGAUGUUUACACUUCCCAUUUCACAGUCCCCAACAAAAACAAGGUAGUUAGGUAGGUAUCUGUCUUUUUUUUUUUUUUUUUUGGUAGGUAUCUGUCUCUAAAGCCUCUUGAAUCCUUUGCUUGAUGAAAUCAAAUAUGUUUUGAGUGAA